UACGUAGGGGGGCUAGCGUUGUCCGGAAUCAUUGGGCGUAAAGCGCGCGUAGGCGGCCAGAUAAGUCCGGUGUGAAAGUCACAGGCUCAACCUGUGAAUGCCGCUGGAAACUGUCUGGCUAGAGUCCGGAAGGGGCGAGUGGAAUUCCUGGUGUAGCGGUGAAAUGCGCAGAUAUCAGGAGGAACACCAAUGGCGAAGGCAGCUCGCUGGAACGGUACUGACGCUGAGGCGCGAAAGCGUGGGGAGCGAACAGG
This 254-nucleotide ribosomal RNA is filed under the name uncultured bacterium. RNAcentral describes it as "partial 16S ribosomal RNA". It matches the Rfam family "Bacterial small subunit ribosomal RNA", at positions 524 to 776 of the family's 1533-position model. The record is from RNAcentral.